RNAcentral lists this ribosomal RNA (249 nucleotides) under uncultured bacterium. Its description in RNAcentral is "partial 16S ribosomal RNA". It matches the Rfam family "Bacterial small subunit ribosomal RNA", at positions 1251 to 1500 of the family's 1533-position model. The record is from RNAcentral.
GAAGCCGCGAGGUAGAGCAAAUCUCAAAAAGACAUCUCAGUUCAGAUUGCAGGCUGCAACUCGCCUGCAUGAAGUCGGAAUUGCUAGUAAUCGUAGGUCAGCAUACUACGGUGAAUACGUUCCCGGGCCUUGUACACACCGCCCGUCAAACCAUGAGAGUUGGCAACACCCGAAGUCGGUAGUCUAACCGCAAGGAGGACGCCGCCGAAGGUGGGGUUGAUGAUUAGGGUUAAGUCGUAACAAGGUAUC